CCUACGGGUGGCAGCAGUGGGGAAUAUUGCACAAUGGGGGAAACCCUGAUGCAGCGACGCCGCGUGAGUGAAGAAGUAAUUCGUUAUGUAAAGCUCUAUCAGCAGGGAAGAAAAUGACGGUACCUGAGUAAGAAGCCCCGGCUAACUACGUGCCAGCAGCCGCGGUAAUACGUAGGGGGCAAGCGUUAUCCGGAUUUACUGGGGGUAAAGGGAGCGUAGACGGCAGUGCAAGUCUGGAGUGAAAGGCGGGGGCUCAACCCCCGGACUGCUCUGGAAACUGUACGGCUGGAGUGCAGGAGAGGUAAGUGGAAUUCCUAGUGUAGCGGUGAAAUGCGUAGAUAUUAGGAAGAACACCAGUGGCGAAGGCGGCUUUCUGGACUGAAACUGACGCUGAGGCACGAAAGCGUGGGGAGCGAACAGGAUUAGAUACCCCAGUAGUC
RNAcentral lists this ribosomal RNA (440 nucleotides) under uncultured bacterium. RNAcentral describes it as "partial 16S ribosomal RNA". It matches the Rfam family "Bacterial small subunit ribosomal RNA", at positions 338 to 795 of the family's 1533-position model. The record is from RNAcentral.